GUUUUCCACUUACGUACGAAUCCACCUGUUGAUUCUAACUGGUUGAUUUGUUAGGAAGAUCUACACUUCACCUUCACCAGGGCUCUAACGUACCCGACACUGGUGGUUUCUGUCAUGUGGGCAACAAUGACGUCAUCCUAUGUUAUCCGGUUGACGGUGGUGCUUUUGCUAGCUGGACAAGCUUAUGGCGAUGUAACGCGAGAACUUAAUGGCUACCGCUACAUGGCGAUUACAAGCUCCCGCCGCAACUGGGACCAGGCAGAAGCAAGGUGUGUGUCAUACGG
Long non-coding RNA from Branchiostoma floridae (Florida lancelet), 284 nucleotides. RefSeq lists it as uncharacterized. Lineage: Eukaryota; Metazoa; Chordata; Leptocardii; Amphioxiformes; Branchiostomatidae. The record is from RefSeq and is a predicted model, not a curated record. The transcript is spliced from 3 exons.